RNAcentral lists this unclassified non-coding RNA (240 nucleotides) under soil metagenome. RNAcentral describes it as "partial contains 5.8S ribosomal RNA, internal transcribed spacer 2, and large subunit ribosomal RNA". The record is from RNAcentral.
AAGACUAUAGACCUGCGGAGUACCUGCGGAAGGAUCAUUAACGUGCCAGCUGGGUGGUUCCCCGGGUGUUCCCUAAAAGACGCCCGGCGCUUUCCCGCUACAAGGCCCCACACUUGUCUACCUACCACGUUGUCUCGGCGGGCCGGGGGGCUUCUGUCCCCCGACCAACGCCCGCCGGGAACCCCUAAACCACUGUCAUUAGCGAUUGCAGUCUGAGCGAUUAUUGAAUAAAUCAAAACU